This 1198-nucleotide ribosomal RNA is filed under the name uncultured bacterium. RNAcentral describes it as "bacterial SSU rRNA". It matches the Rfam family "Bacterial small subunit ribosomal RNA", at positions 101 to 1367 of the family's 1533-position model. The record is from RNAcentral.
AAGGUGUGGGGAAUACGUAGGCGAGUUACCGUUAUCCGCAUCAUCUAGAUGAUGGGAUGCAGGCUCAUGUUCCUGAGCGCGAAUCGAUAGCUAGUGUGAGGUAAGCCACCAGCACGAUCAGUAGCUGUCUGAGAGGACGACAGCACACUGACUGAGACACGUCAGACUCUACGGGAGGCAGCAGUGGGGAAUUUUGACAUGGCGCAAGCCUGAUCCAGCAAUGCCGCGUGAGUGAAGAAGGCCUUCGGGUUGUAAAGCUCUUUGUCAGGGAAGAAACGGUAGAGGCUAAUAUCCUUUGCUAAUGACGGUACCUGAAGAAUAAGCACCGGCUAACUACGUGCCGGCAGCCGCGGUAAUACGUAGGGUGCAAGCGUUAAUCGGAAUUACUGGGCGUAAAGCGUGCGCAGGCGGUUUUGUAAGUCUGUCGUGAAAGCCCCGGGCUCAACCUGGGAAUUGCGAUGGAGACUGCAAGGCUUGAAUCUGGCAGAGGGGGGUAGAAUUCCACGUGUAGCAGUGAAAUGCGUAGAGAUGUGGAGGAACACCGAUGGCGAAGGCAGCCCCCUGGGUCAAGAUUGACGCUCAUGCACGAAAGCGUGGGGAGCAAACAGGAUUAGAUACCCUGGUAGUCCACGCCCUAAACGAUGUCUACUAGUUGUCGGGUUUUAAAUAACUUGGUAACGCAGCUAACGCGUGAAGUAGACCGCCUGGGGAGUACGGUCGCAAGAUUAAAACUCAAAGGAAUUGACGGGGACCCGCACAAGCGGUGGAUGAUGUGGAUUAAUUCGAUGCAACGCGAAAAACCUUACCUACCCUUGACAUGUCAGGAAGGCCGGAGAGAUCUGGCUGUGCCCGAAAGGGAACCUGAACACAGGUGCUGCAUGGCUGUCGUCAGCUCGUGUCGUGAGAUGUUGGGUUAAGUCCCGCAACGAGCGCAACCCUUGUCAUUAGUUGCUACAUUUAGUUGAGCACUCUAAUGAGACUGCCGGUGACAAACCGGAGGAAGGUGGGGAUGACGUCAAGUCCUCAUGGCCCUUAUGGGUAGGGCUUCACACGUCAUACAAUGGUACAUACAGAGGGCCGCCAACCCGCGAGGGGGAGCUAAUCCCAGAAAGUGUAUCGUAGUCCGGAUCGCAGUCUGCAACUCGACUGCGUGAAGUUGGAAUCGCUAGUAAUCGCGGAUCAGCAUUCGCGAAUGCAA